AGUCGUAACAAGGUAUCCGUAGGUGAACCUGCGGAUGGAUCAUUAACAAAGAUUCAUCUUUAUGUAUUGUGAACCAGUUGACUAACUGUCAGUGUGGGUGUUGUGAAUGUCGGUUGUUUUACUACUGCUGACAACUUGCCUCAUUUGCACUGACGGUACUAUACUAUACGUAUUGCCAAUAUCUAAACUGAAGUCUUUUUAGUUACAAACUAAAGAAAACUUUUAGCAACGGAUCUCUUGGCUCUC
RNAcentral lists this unclassified non-coding RNA (246 nucleotides) under fungal sp. Its description in RNAcentral is "partial internal transcribed spacer region". The stretch from base 1 to 45 matches the Rfam family "Eukaryotic small subunit ribosomal RNA", at positions 1787 to 1831 of the family's 1831-position model. The record is from RNAcentral. Lineage: Eukaryota; Fungi.